UUCUGGGAGUUGAAGUCCGGACAUCUUCAAGUUGCCAAGGUUGAGAAACACUGCCUUAGGCUAAUACAGAUUCUUUACACCAGCAUUCUGUGGAAUCAAAAUAGGGCAUGAAAACAGGGAUGACUUUUAUAUUUCCCAGUCUAUAAUCUUAUAGGAACCAAACAGCUGCCUACCUGCGUUAUCUUUAACUUCUUUAGUUGCCUAAGAUACCCUUCCGAACUUUUGAUUGCUGGAGAUGAUUCAGAAAAUACUUCCAGGUAACCAACGAAGAUGGGGACUUAGCACCUAUUUUAGCAAUGAACUAACCAACAAACCCACUCACUACUUUGAUUUGCUUUUCUCAAGAAAAGCCACUCUCUCUCUCUCUCCAGAAAGGAAUUGAAAACACUCCUAACAUGAGAAUUUUUAAAGCUGGUGCAAAUUGUGAGAGCUUCUACUUCACUUGCCCGCUUGUUCCUUGUGUUCUGUUACCAGUGUAAAUUGAUAUCUAGAUCUCAACCCUACUACAAUCAGCCCCUUGUGGUGAAGUUGCAGAGAUAUUCUGCAGCACUUUUAUGCAGUCCCCUCAAAUACUGCAAAGGAGAAACCACCUCUGCAGAACCUUCACUGCGCAUUCGGGAGAAAGGGGUUUGCAAUGAAAGGGGAGGGGAAAAAAGGCCAGCCUUUGGGAAAGUAAAUCCAACUAUCUCAUUUCUCCAAAUAUCCCAUCAAUGUUUCCUCUGAAUCUGAAAGGAACAAACUAGAGAGAAAUCUCUUCUGCCAGCAGCUGUACAUGGAUACUAGUCCAUGCAGUGCACAUCUGUCUUGGGGUGCUGCGCCUUGGUGCAAUAAUUGUGCAAAUGCAUCACUAUUUGUGUCUCUGGGAAGCGUCAAAAUAAUGCAGAGGAGGAUUUAUCAAAAUGAUUCUCGCUCGGAAGCAGGCCACCCAGUUCAGUUGCUGAUGGCUACAGAGAGGUUUGCAAAAGGGCCUCCCCCCAAAUGAUGGAGAAUGGUUGCCCCUUAGCAUAAAUGGAUUUGAGUUAGAUGGAUCAGCAGUCACAGUUUUUGAAAAAGCAACUUCCUAAGAUCCUAUAUGUUGGCUAACAGUCAUGGUAAACCACUCAACUUCAUUGCUUGGUAUAUAUUUAGAAUUUUUUUUAAAAAAAAACCCAACCCUACAAAUCCAAGGAUGAUUCCCAACAAGACCAAUAAAAUAAAAUAAAAUAAAAUAAAAAUCAAUCUGAAGAGAAAAGUAGCAAAGGAGACUUCAGAGGAAUUUUCUUGUAAAAUUACUACAUCUGGAAAUUAGCGUUUCCAAAGUCAAGGGGGAAAAAUGGAGAACUUAAAAAGAGCCAAUACCGUAGCCUUUUUUCUGACAACGAAGAAAGGUAUCAAAAUCACUGGGAAUGUAGAAACAGCAAAGUCAAAUGCUGCCUCUUGUCUAAGGGCUGUGUAAC
This is a long non-coding RNA of Thamnophis elegans (Western terrestrial garter snake), 1436 nucleotides long. RefSeq lists it as uncharacterized. The record is from RefSeq and is a predicted model, not a curated record. The transcript is spliced from 2 exons. NCBI's taxonomy places the organism in Eukaryota, Metazoa, Chordata, Lepidosauria, Squamata, Natricidae.